UGUUGAUGAUGACAAAUUCAAAGGCUUGUUUCUCAAAAACAUUCGCAGUGGCCGCAUAAGAGCUUUCGCCUUUUGGGCUUGAGAGCUAAUGCUUUCAAUCCUUCCUUGGAUGUCUGAGACA
This is a small nucleolar RNA of Cornus florida, 121 nucleotides long. RefSeq annotates it as small nucleolar RNA SNORD14. NCBI's taxonomy places the organism in Eukaryota, Viridiplantae, Streptophyta, Magnoliopsida, Cornales, Cornaceae. The transcript has a single exon. The record is from RefSeq and is a predicted model, not a curated record.